AGAGUUUGAUCCUGGCUCAGAUUGAACGCUGGCGGCAUGCCUAACACAUGCAAGUCGAACGGUAAUAGGCCGUUGGGAUCCCUUUGGGGUGACCUUGGCGUUGACGAGUGGCGGACGGGUGAGUAAUGCGUAGGAAUUUACCUCAAAGCGGGGGAUAGUUUGGAGAAAUCCGGAUUAAUACCGCAUGUGUUUUAUGAGGAAAGUGGGUUUUUAUUUGUAAGUUUGCACUUUGAGAUAAGCCUACGUCGGAUUAGUUUGUUGGUGGGGUAAAAGUUUAUUAAGGUGAUGAUUUGUAGUUGGUUUGAGAGGAUGAUCAGCCACACUGGGACUGAGAUAUGGCCCAGACUCCUACGGGAGGCAGCAGUGGGGAAUAUUGGAUAAUGGGCGUAAGCCUGAUCCAGCAAUGCCGCGUGUGUGAAGAAGGCCUGCGGGUUGUAAAGCACUUUUAUCAGGAAAGAAAAUUAUAGGGAUAAUAUCCCUGUGUUUUGAUGGUACCUGAUGAAUAAGCACCGGCUAACUCCGUGCCAGUAGUUGUGGUAAUACGGAGGGUGCAAGCGUUAAUCGGAAUUACUGGGCGUAAAGCGAGUGUAGGCGGCUCCGUAAGUCGGAUGUGAAAGCCCUGGGUUUAAUUUGGGAAUUGCAUUCGAUACUGCGCGGCUAGAGUCUGAUAGAGGGAAGUGGAAUUUUAGGUGUAGUGGUGAAAUGUGUAGAUAUUUGGAGGAAUAUUAGUGGUGAAGGUGGUUUUUUGGAUUAAGACUGACGCUGAGGCUCGAAAGCGUGGGGAGUAAAUAGGAUUAGAUAUCCUGGUAGUCCACGCUUUAAAUGAUGUCAACUAGACGUUGGCCCCAUUAAAGGGGUUAGUGUUGAAGCUAAUGCGUUAAGUUGACCGCCUGGGGAGUACGGCCGCAAGGUUGAAACUCAAAGGAAUUGACGGGGGCCCGCACAAGCGGUGGAGCAUGUGGUUUAAUUUGAUGCAAUGUGAAGAAUUUUACCAGCCCUUGAUAUCCUGGGAACUUUGUAGAGAUACAUUGGUGUCUUUGGGAAUCUAGUGAUAGGUGCUGUAUGGCUGUCGUCAGCUUGUGUUGUGAGAUGUUGGGUUAAGUUUUGCAACGAGCGUAACCCUUGUCCCUAGUUGCCAGCAUGUUAUGGUGGGAAUUUUAGGGAGACUGCCGGUGAUAAACCGGAGGAAGGUGGGGAUGACGUCAAGUCAUUAUGGCCCUUAUGGGCUGGGCUACACACGUGCUACAAUGGUCGGUACAGAGGGUUGUAAUCCCGUGAGGGGGAGUUAAUUUUAUAAAGCCGAUCUUAGUCCGGAUCGCAGUCUGUAAUUUGACUGCGUGAAGUCGGAAUCGCUAGUAAUCGCGAAUUAGUAAUGUUGUGGUGAAUAUGUUCCCGGGCCUUGUACACACCGCCCGUCACACCAUGGGAGUGGGUUGCACCAGAAGUAGUUAGCUUAACCUUGGGAGGGCGAUUACUAUGGUGUGAUUCAUGACUGGGGUGAAGUCGAAACAAGGUA
Molecule: ribosomal RNA, 1516 nt
Filed under: metagenome
Description: bacterial SSU rRNA
Rfam family: Bacterial small subunit ribosomal RNA
Source: RNAcentral